Molecule: non-coding RNA, 413 nt
Organism: Cinara cedri
Lineage: Eukaryota; Metazoa; Arthropoda; Insecta; Hemiptera; Aphididae
Source: the annotation of a GenBank genome assembly
GAAAAAUUAUAAGUUCAGGUGUAGGAAAUGAAUUUCCAGGAGGGAAAUAACAAGAUGCUAUGGAGAUAGGAACCGAGUUUAUUGUUUGAUACGACUGUUUCCCAGAUAUCAGUAUUAGAAUUGGUUGUCGAAGUAUUGUUUGAAGUAUCAUUUUCUUUAUUUCUUUUUUUGAUAAUUUUAAAGGUGGAAUUGUUUUGUUAGAUAAUUGAUUUGGGCUCGAAGCCAUAUUGAAUGCGAGUAUUUCUGUAGCAGUAUGUAGAGACUGUGAUAGUGGAUGACCUUGAGGCCUUUACGAGGCGGCGGCGUUAGUGGACUUUAUACGAUAAGACUAUUAUAUUAUUAUACAUUACUGGUUUGCGGUGGCACUGCAUAAUUUGAUGUUAAUGCUAGUUAGAGCUAUACAAAAUGGUGCG